This 1302-nucleotide ribosomal RNA is filed under the name Triticum aestivum (bread wheat). Its description in RNAcentral is "partial small subunit ribosomal RNA". Lineage: Eukaryota; Viridiplantae; Streptophyta; Magnoliopsida; Poales; Poaceae. The record is from RNAcentral.
AUGAUACAGUUUUCUAAUUCAGCCAUGUCUACCCUAAAAGAAGCUGAUUUUUUCACUCCUGAUUCCAAGGAUUCUAGUGUCAUUCAUAUGGAUUUAGACCGCAGCUUCUUACCAGUACCUUCUCCACUGGGCGGCUCCAUUUUAGCAAGUUUUGCUCGGCGGAACGUCAUGGAUUUUGAAACUGACGUUCGUUCCAGCAUCGAACAGCUGGUGGGAGAUAACUAUGGUUUCCCAGGAGACAGUUGUCCCGACGUUACAUUUAACAACCGUUCAUGUGGCUUCUCUAAGGAAAUUAUAUAUGGCAGCACCUGUCUCACACUCCUCAACAAGCUUGUCCUUUGCUGUAUGAGGGAGCAAGGCGCCUUCCUUUUCCCCAUGGGCACCAAUGGGCACUAUGUCUCGGCAGCAAAGUUUAUGAAUGCAAAAACAUUGACGAUUCCAACAAAUGUACGUUCAGGCUUCAAGAUUGAACCGACCGCUCUAAGAGCAGCUCUGGAUGAUGCAUAUGAGAAUGAGAAUGUAUGGCCAUGGGUGUAUAUUUUUGGCCCUACAGUUAACCCUUCUGGUUCCCUGUACAGUGAUGACGAGAUAAAAGAUUUGCUGUCCAUUUGUGCUGAACAUGGAGCUAGGGUAGUGAUAGACACCUCCUCCUCUGGUCUGGAGUUCGAAACCGGAGAUGGCCGGAGCCUGUGGAAUUUGGAUAGUUUUUCUUAUAAUAUUGCUUCAUGUCUCGCACUCCGCGUUUUUAUGCUUGGGGAGCUGUCCCUUCAGCUGACCAUGAGUGGGUUUGACUUUGGGUUUAUGAUUUACAUUGACCCGUCCUUGAUCAAACAUAUGUUAACAAGCCUGAGUCAACCACACCGCACAUUGAAGUAUACUUCCAGAAAACUGUUGUGUCUUAAGAACAAGAGGGACCAGCGCUUCUCUGAUCUCAUUGAGGAGCAAAAGGAGACACUGAAGCAUCGUGCCGAUAAGUUGACUAAGACACUCGAGAGCUGUGGCUGGGAUGUCGUCGGCUGCCAUGGCGGUAUCUCAAUGCUGGCGAAACCAACGGCCUACAUCGGCAAAUCGUUCAAGAUAGACACUUUCGAAGGCGAGCUCGAUGGCUGCAACAUCAGGGAAGCGCUCCUUAGAUCCACUGGACUCUGCAUAUCCAGCAGCAAGUGGACCGGGAUACCGGACUACUGCCGGUUCAGCUUUGCUCCCGAGAGCAGCGAAUUCGACCAGGCGAUGGACUGCAUAACUCGGUUCAGGGAGUUGGUUCUAGGAGACAAUGCACAGAUGAAUGUUAAUAGUAGCUAG